This 254-nucleotide ribosomal RNA is filed under the name uncultured bacterium. Its description in RNAcentral is "partial 16S ribosomal RNA". It matches the Rfam family "Bacterial small subunit ribosomal RNA", at positions 524 to 776 of the family's 1533-position model. The record is from RNAcentral.
CACGUAGGCACCAAGCGUUGUCCGGAUUUAUUGGGCGUAAAGAGCUCGUAGGCGGUUCAGUAAGUCGGGUGUGAAAACUUUGGGCUUAACCCAAAGCGUGCAUCCGAUACUGCUGUGACUUGAGUUCGGUAGGGGAGUGGGGAAUUCCUAGUGUAGCGGUGAAAUGCGCAGAUAUUAGGAGGAACACCGGUGGCGAAGGCGCCACUCUGGGCCGAAACUGACGCUGAGGAGCGAAAGCAUGGGUAGAAAACAGG